UCAUAAGAAUAGAGAAUUUUGAAACAUUAUCAGAAUUUGAAGAAUAUAUAUAAGAGCAAGCUCACUGAAAAUUUACUCAGAAAUCUAUUUGCACACAAGAUAAAUCAGUGCUGUCACUUUCCAUCCCCAUCAUUUUCCACGCAAACCAUAUCCACCUCUUACGUUAUGUACGACACUUUGGUCUCAAACAAAACGAGAGAAAAUCCACUUCCGUAAUGAAACAAGACCAAAACUCGCUUCGUAUAUCGGUAGUUUCGAGAACUAACCUCACAUAUACUCUCAACUUAACUAUCAAACGAAUGUGUUUGACAAAGAGAAAGAAGCAAUUAAGAGCAACACGAAUUCUUCGAUCUCGCGAAUAAUUCGAUCUAUGAUCACUGAUUUAUCAUCUCUUUCCUAAAUAGGAGAGGAAGGAACAAUGCUUAAAUUUUUUCAGAAACGAACUCGCGAGAAGGCUACCCUCUGGUGACGAAAGGAAUAAUUAAGAAAAGAAAAAAAUUCGAAUGACAGAAGAAGUACCUACAGGAAGAAACGUUAUCGAAGAUUUUCAAAACGGCGCAUUUUCCUCGGUCCGCUUAGGGCCUGGGGCCGCCUAGUUGGGCGAGCGUCGCGACGCCACGCGAGGCAAGCCUUUUUCGUGCCUGUCGGGCAACCACCAUCCCACGAGAAUGCGGGGGCGUCGUGACGAGAGCAUAUAUUCGACGUCGGGACGCUCCGGAGGCACAGACGCCACUCCAACUCUGUCCCGUGCACGAGCAUUAAAAUCGAAGAAGAAACAAAAUGUGUGACGACGAAGUAGCAGCCCUUGUUGUCGACAAUGGAUCCGGUAUGUGCAAGGCCGGUUUCGCCGGAGACGACGCCCCCCGCGCCGUCUUCC
Apis dorsata (giant honeybee) is the source of this 877-nucleotide long non-coding RNA. RefSeq lists it as uncharacterized. NCBI's taxonomy places the organism in Eukaryota, Metazoa, Arthropoda, Insecta, Hymenoptera, Apidae. The record is from RefSeq and is a predicted model, not a curated record. The transcript is spliced from 2 exons.